UACGGGAGGCACCACUGUGGAAUAUUGCACAAUGGGGAAACCCUGAUGCAGCAACGCCGCGUGAGUGAUGACGGCCUUCGGGUUGUAUAGCUCUGUCUUCAGGGACGAUAAUGACGGUGCCUGAGGAGGAAGCCACGGCUAACUACGUGCCAGCAGCCGCGGUAAUACGUAGGUGGCGAGCGUUGUCCGGAUUUACUGGGCGUAAAGGGAGCGUAGGCGGACUUUUAAGUGAGAUGUGAAAUACCCGGGCUCAACUUGGGUGCUGCAUUUCAAACUGGAAGUCUAGAGUGCAGGAGAGGAGAAUGGAAUUCCUAGUGUAGCGGUGAAAUGCGUAGAGAUUAGGAAGAACACCAGUGGCGAAGGCGAUUCUUUGGACUGUAACUGACGCUGAGGCUCGAAAGCGUGGGGAGCAAACAGGAUUAGAUACCCUGGUAGUCCACGCCGUAAAACGAUGAAUACUAGGU
Molecule: ribosomal RNA, 464 nt
Filed under: uncultured bacterium
Lineage: Bacteria
Description: bacterial SSU rRNA
Rfam family: Bacterial small subunit ribosomal RNA
Source: RNAcentral